AAUGGAGACAGGGUCCUCUGGUACAUGCUGCUUAAGCUUGUGUUUUUAUGGGGCCCUUUCACUGAAAGCACAUAAACUUCACAUGCUUUCUCAGGAAGCGCCUUCCAUGCCUUUCCCACACUGCGCUAAUAAGUCGGGUGGAGUCCGUCUUGAAAGAGAGCAGUGAUUGAUUGUGUGUGUGUGUUGAGAACCGUGAGACUGACUUUCAUCAAGCUGCUCCAAGCCGAUUAUGGCUCUUUCCGAAAGGUGUACUAACUGCAACCCACACGGCAAGAAGGAACAAACAGCCAUCACUGAGGGCGGCUUCCCAUGGCAGCGACACCACCACUGACGGAGCACGCGCACAGAGGAGACCCGGGUCUGAGCCCAGCAGCAAGAGAAGCCCAAACAGCUUCAAGAAUCCCAGCAAGAUUGUCAGUCUCAGUGAAGCCUUUCUGCAAAACCAAGACCUGAGCUCAAGGAAGCUGCUAUUUAAAACCAGACGUGAGAGUCAAAGACAAUUAUCCAUUGAACAAGUACUUCAAAAUGGCACUAGGCAAGUUUUACUUCAUUGAAGUAUCACAAUCACUUCACGAAAUGUGUAAUGUUAUUUCCAUUCUACAGCUGGGUAAAGGCUUGAGGAUGUCACAUAGCUUGCCUGAAGUUCAAGUACAAGCAAAUGGAAAAGCCAGGGUUGGAAUCAAGUGACCACACUGUAUGCUUACCUACUCUCCCAUAUUGCCAAUAAAAUAAAGUCUAUCUGAC
RNAcentral lists this long non-coding RNA (744 nucleotides) under Homo sapiens (human). Its description in RNAcentral is "HSALNT0026469". Lineage: Eukaryota; Metazoa; Chordata; Mammalia; Primates; Hominidae. The record is from RNAcentral.